UAUCGUCGGUCUAGCUAAGCCCAAUAGUAGAGAUGGCCAACGGAUCGAUGGCUCUGAGUCGUCUCCAGCUCCUCAAGCCUCCGCAUCCCUCUCUAUCAUUUCUCCCCACCAUCUCAUCUCCUCCUCCUCGGCUCCUUUCCCCGUCCUGCUCGCUCGCCAAGAGCUUCUCCGCCCGUCGUCUCUUCUGCUCCAAAUCAGAUGGGCCGCUCGAGGAUUCGGGCGCGGGGGAGAGCUCUCCUUCUAUAGUGGGCGAUCUUCUGGAUUACCUCAACGAAUCUUGGACUCAGUUCCACGCCACUGCUGAAGCGAAAAGGCAACUGAUCGCAGCUGGAUUCCGUUUGCUAAAUGAGAAUGAUGAUUGGGAUCUGCAGCCGGGAGGGCGCUACUUCUUCACGCGGAACAUGUCCUCUUUGGUUGCCUUUGCAGUCGGAGAAAAAUACAAUGUUGGCAGUGGGUUUCAUGUAAUUGCUGCUCACACAGAUAGCCCAUGCUUGAAACUGAAGCCCAGGUCUGCAUCCUCCAAGUCUGGGUUUCUAAUGGUAAAUGUGCAGACAUAUGGAUCAGGCUUAUGGCACACGUGGUUUGAUAGAGAUCUAAGUGUAGCUGGAAGAGUUAUCCUAAAAGCUAGCGAUGGUUCCUAUGUGCAUAAGCUUGUCAAAGUGAGGAGACCUUUACUGCGUAUACCAACAUUGGCCAUACAUCUUGACCGCACAGUGAACACAGAAGGUUUCAAACCAAACUUUGAGAGUCAUCUUGUUCCACUUCUGGCAACAAAACUUGAGGCACAAGUGAAAUCUGAAGAAAAAAAGUCUUCAUCAAUCUCUUCAAAAGGUGUUCAUCAUUCACUGCUGUUGCAGGUGUUAUCUGAGGAACUUGGAUGCAAUGUUGAUGAAAUAAUGGGUACAGAGUUAAAUGUUUGCGAUACACAGCCUAGCUGUCUUGGAGGUGGAAAUAAUGAAUUUAUCUUCUCUGGUAGACUUGACAAUCUUGCUUCGAGUUAUUGUGCACUCAGAUCUCUUCUGGACUCAUGUAAGUCUCCCGGAGCUUUAGCCAAUGAGCAGGCUAUCAGAAUGGUUGCUUUAUUUGAUAAUGAAGAGGUGGGAUCAAACUCAAUACAAGGAGCAGGCGCACCAACCAUGUUCCAGGCCAUGAGACGCAUUGUUGGUUGCUUAGCUCAGGAGUACAUAGGAGAGGGUGCUUUUGAACGUGCAAUACGCUCGUCUUUUCUUGUGUCCGCCGACAUGGCACAUGGUCUGCACCCAAACUUUUCAGAUAAAUAUGAAGAACACCACAGGCCAGAGCUACAAAAGGGGCUUGUUGUCAAACAUAAUGCUAACCAGCGCUAUGCCACGAGUGCAGUAACUGCCUUUCUUUUCAAGGAAGUGGCAAAUAUUCAUAACCUUCCAGUUCAGGAAUUUGUUGUAAGAAAUGAUAUGGGAUGUGGAUCUACUAUAGGCCCCAUACUUGCUUCUGGGGUUGGUAUCCGAACUGUAGAUUGUGGCAUUCCUCAGCUCUCCAUGCACAGGGCUCAAGUUGGCCGUUGAUGGGACGCCAAACUCAAGAGCACAUGACAUAUACUAGCUCGGAGUCAACCGGGGCGUACGGAUUGAUCAUGGGUCAUGUCUCUCUGUCUCUCUGAUGUAGUUUCAUGGUCGACCCUUAUCUCUCUUUCUUUCUCUGGACUCUCCUUUUCUUCUUGCAGGAGACGGUGGCCUUUUUUUUUUUUUUUUCGCUAAAAGAGACGGUGGCCUUUGUUAUGUUUAAGAAACACAAUGACCUCACGUCGAAUCCAUCGCAUCUGUCUCUGACUCGAAAUCACCCAUCAGCCUUUUAAAUCUCAGAGUGGAGAUUACUACAUCUCUUUAGGGAUCCGGUUUGAAAAGUCCGUAAUUAUAACGAGGACGGCUUUGGAAAGCCAACGGGCAUCUACCAAUUAUUCCCACUGCCGGGCAGCCUUAAUUAAUUCUUCCUACCAUUACACUGCAAGGUUUCCUUUGUUUUGAUCCCACCGUACACUAGGGAUUAUGAACUGUUCACAGGAAGAUCGUGCAUCAGAUGGUCUGUGAUAGCCUGUUUCAGUCUCCCUGAAGCUUGCCCAUCCAGAUUUUAGUUGCAUCAUUGGUGAGGUGGCUAGACAAACUAAGCCAUUUCUAUCCCAACUGCCAAACACCUGCAUUCCAUUUGAUUGAAGCCGUCCCCUUACUAUGUAUGAUAUCUGAUGGGGAAAAACUUCAGAUUAUUGCAUGUUGUAAUGUUUAGGUAGGAGCCCUGAGGGUUGUGAUAGAGCUUCUUCGACUGUUAUUACUUCGGUUGUUCGUGCUUAAUUUGCCUGUGGUCCAAGCACGUAGAUUAGCCAUUUAGCCUUAAUUUUAUAUUUAGACAGUCAGUUUAUCAGCUUAAUUACCCUUCUUGUUUUUCUUACCGGAAACAUUGACCUUGCAACACCAGAAAUCUCCUCAUAGCUUUUGAAAUUUAGCAUGAUAAGGAGCCAGUUUGACAAACAUAUUUAUGUUAAUUCAGAAGUGUGGAAAUGAUUCGACGCCUACCAAACUGAGGUAAACAGAAGCAGAACUUGGAGCAGGAUUCUGGUGGCUACUUGUUCUGUAACGUAGAGACAUCUGAAGUUAGACUUAGGGAAAAAGUAGCUAAAUUUUCAAGCGUGCGGGAGGUAUGUGGCAAAGAAGAUGUGGAUAUCGCUUACAAACAUUUCCUGGCCUUCUUCCAAUCUUUCUCUGACAUCGAUGGGAAGCUAAGCGUGGAUUUUUAGGUGAUAUCACAGCUUUGCUUCGCGGUGUUGUUUCAAAACUAUUCUUAGCUGCGGUAAAAUCGAGCUGUUUAAGCAUUUAGCAUGUGGAUUUUCGUUCCUGUUGGCACCGUUUCAUAUGGAAAGAAAGAAGAAAUUCUAGGAGCAAAGCUAGAUUUGAUUA
This is a non-coding RNA of Phoenix dactylifera (date palm), 2927 nucleotides long. NCBI's taxonomy places the organism in Eukaryota, Viridiplantae, Streptophyta, Magnoliopsida, Arecales, Arecaceae. The record is from RefSeq and is a predicted model, not a curated record.